AGAAGGAGCUUGCUCCCGGAUGUUAGCGGCGGACGGGUGAGUAACACGUGGGUAACCUGCCUGUAAGACUGGGAUAACUCCGGGAAACCGGAGCUAAUACCGGAUAGUUCCUUGAACCGCAUGGUUCAAGGAUGAAAGACGGUUUCGGCUGUCACUUACAGAUGGACCCGCGGCGCAUUAGCUAGUUGGUGGGGUAAUGGCUCACCAAGGCGACGAUGCGUAGCCGACCUGAGAGGGUGAUCGGCCACACUGGGACUGAGACACGGCCCAGACUCCUACGGGAGGCAGCAGUGGUCUACA
This 300-nucleotide ribosomal RNA is filed under the name Bacillus sp. TR1.2. Its description in RNAcentral is "bacterial SSU rRNA". It matches the Rfam family "Bacterial small subunit ribosomal RNA", at positions 71 to 357 of the family's 1533-position model. The record is from RNAcentral. Lineage: Bacteria; Bacillati; Bacillota; Bacilli; Caryophanales; Bacillaceae.